This 365-nucleotide ribosomal RNA is filed under the name uncultured bacterium. Its description in RNAcentral is "bacterial SSU rRNA". It matches the Rfam family "Bacterial small subunit ribosomal RNA", at positions 527 to 896 of the family's 1533-position model. The record is from RNAcentral.
GGAGGAUCCAAGCGUUAUCCGGAAUCAUUGGGUUUAAAGGGUCCGUAGGCGGUUUAGUAAGUCAGUGGUGAAAGCCCAUCGCUCAACGGUGGAACGGCCAUUGAUACCGCUAGACUUGAAUUAUUAGGAAGUAACUAGAAUAUGUAGUGUAGCGGUGAAAUGCUUAGAGAUUACAUGGAAUACCAAUUGCGAAGGCGGGUUACUACUAAUUGAUUGACGCUGAUGGACGAAGGCGUGGGUAGCGAACAGGAUUAGAUACCCUGGUAGUCCACGCCGUAAACGAUGGAUACUAGCUGUUGGGGGCAACUUCAGUGGCUAAGCGAAAGUGAUAAGUAUCCCACCUGGGGAGUACGAACGCAAGUUUG